Molecule: non-coding RNA, 308 nt
Organism: Paramuricea clavata
Lineage: Eukaryota; Metazoa; Cnidaria; Anthozoa; Malacalcyonacea; Plexauridae
Source: the annotation of a GenBank genome assembly
GUAAAAAAGUCAUACGUCAUGGUUUCUACCCACCUGAAAGCAUAUAUAUAACUUGAAUAUUGCUGGGUUAUGUGGAUACACCAGUCAGUCUGCCAAAGUGAGCAAUCGAAUUGGUCAAGAACGUUUAGUACUUCAAAAUGUGAGUAUAUAUAUAGAUAUACACUUUCACACGCGCCGUUUACCCGGACGGUAUGAGAGGUGGGAUGAUUUUGAUGCUUGCAUGAUGAUAAGAAUGAGACGAAAGGCAACUUCAGCAAUUCUAUAUUAACAAGCUGAUCAUUUUGUUAAAUUGAGUCCAUUUGUCGAGC